AGAGUUUGAUCCUGGCCCAGGAUGAACGCUAGCUACAGGCUUAACACAUGCAAGUCGAGGGGCAGCAUGGUCUUAGCUUGCUAAGGCCGAUGGCGACCGGCGCACGGGUGAGUAACGCGUAUCCAACCUGCCUUACACUCUUGGACAGCCUUCUGAAAGGGAGAUUAAUACAAGAUGUUAUCAUGAGUAAGCAUUUUCGCAUGAUUAAAGGUUUACCGGUGUAAGAUGGGGAUGCGUUCCAUUAGAUAGUAGGCGGGGUAACGGCCCACCUAGUCUUCGAUGGAUAGGGGUUCUGAGAGGAAGGUCCCCCACAUUGGAACUGAGACACGGUCCAAACUCCUACGGGAGGCAGCAGUGAGGAAUAUUGGUCAAUGGACGAGAGUCUGAACCAGCCAAGUAGCGUGAAGGAUGAAGGUUCUAUGGAUUGUAAACUUCUUUUAUACGGGAAUAAACGGAUCCACGCGUGGAUUUUUGCAUGUACCGUAUGAAUAAGGAUCGGCUAACUCCGUGCCAGCAGCCGCGGUAAUACGGAGGAUCCGAGCGUUAUCCGGAUUUAUUGGGUUUAAAGGGAGCGUAGAUGGGUUGUUAAGUCAGUUGUGAAAGUUUGCGGCUCAACCGUAAAAUUGCAAUUGAUACUGGCAGUCUUGAGUACAGUUGAGGUAGGCGGAAUUCGUGGUGUAGCGGUGAAAUGCUUAGAUAUCACGAGGAACUCCGAUUGCGAAGGCAGCUUACUAACCUGUAACUGACAUUGAUGCUCGAAAGUGUGGGUAUCAAACAGGAUUAGAUACCCUGGUAGUCCACACGGUAAACGAUGAAUACUCGCUGUAGGCGAUAUACAGUCUGCGGCCAAGCGAAAGCAUUAAGUAUUCCACCUGGGGAGUACGCCGGCAACGGUGAAACUCAAAGGAAUUGACGGGGGCCCGCACAAGCGGAGGAACAUGUGGUUUAAUUCGAUGAUACGCGAGGAACCUUACCCGGGCUUAAAUUGCAACCGAAUAUGGCGGAAACGCUAUAGCUAGCAAUAGCGGUUGUGAAGGUGCUGCAUGGUUGUCGUCAGCUCGUGCCGUGAGGUGUCGGCUUAAGUGCCAUAACGAGCGCAACCCUUGCCGAUAGUUACUAACAGGUUAUGCUGAGGACUCUGUCGGGACUGCCAUCGUAAGAUGUGAGGAAGGUGGGGAUGACGUCAAAUCAGCACGGCCCUUACGUCCGGGGCUACACACGUGUUACAAUGGGGGGUACAGAGGGCUGCUACCACGCAAGUGGAUGCCAAUCCCAAAAACCUCUCUCAGUUCGGAUUGAAGUCUGCAACCCGACUUCAUGAAGCUGGAUUCGCUAGUAAUCGCGCAUCAGCCACGGCGCGGUGAAUACGUUCCCGGGCCUUGUACACACCGCCCGUCAAGCCAUGGGAGCCGGGGGUACCUGAAGUGCGUAACCGCAAGGAGCGCCCUAGGGUAAAACUGGUGACUGGGGCUAAGUCGUAACAAGGUAGCC
This 1491-nucleotide ribosomal RNA is filed under the name uncultured bacterium. RNAcentral's name for it is "bacterial SSU rRNA". It matches the Rfam family "Bacterial small subunit ribosomal RNA". The record is from RNAcentral.